Molecule: ribosomal RNA, 365 nt
Filed under: Olea europaea subsp. europaea
Lineage: Eukaryota; Viridiplantae; Streptophyta; Magnoliopsida; Lamiales; Oleaceae
Description: LSU_rRNA_bacteria
Source: RNAcentral
AAAACUCAAGGGUUCAUUUGUAAGGUUCGUCUAAAGAGGAUGAUUCGGGGCUUAAGACGUGGCCAAAAGGCAUAGUUGAUAGACAAUAAUUGAAUAUUCCUCUACUAUUACUUGUUGAUCCCAAGAGAUGGAAGAAACAGCAAACUGGGUUAGUCGAAAGCUGGUUAUAGAUUCAACUAUGUAAUGUGCCCCUACUUUUUUUUGGGUAAGAAAGGAUAGAGAAAAUGUCUAGAGCCAAUAUUCGAGAACUAGGCACCUUGAUGCUGAAGUAACUAAACAAUAUUCUUCGGAAAAGUUUGAACAAUCUUAAACAAAAAAGGUAAUUAUAUCUGAAAUGACAUAGAUGGGUAAAUAGAGAAUACCUA